RNAcentral lists this ribosomal RNA (355 nucleotides) under Campylaspis rubicunda. Its description in RNAcentral is "partial large subunit ribosomal RNA". It matches the Rfam family "Eukaryotic large subunit ribosomal RNA", at positions 656 to 906 of the family's 3401-position model. The record is from RNAcentral. Lineage: Eukaryota; Metazoa; Arthropoda; Malacostraca; Cumacea; Nannastacidae.
GAAACACGGACCAAGGAGUCUAACAGGUACGCGAGUCGAAGGGCUGACUAAACCCUUUGGCGGAAUUAAAGUAAGAAAGAGCGUGUUUUGUCUUUACAGAUGAGAUGCGUGGCUGAUUCUGGUUGGAGAAAUUUAUUUUUCUUUUUUUUCAGACGCAAGCUGAGGGCCUGUCGACGUCAGUUGAUGCUGUGGGGUAGCAGUUUUUGUUAAUUGUUAUUUCCCGGUUGAUUGGCCGGCAGGCACCUAUAGCGUAAAUGUUAGUACCCGAAAGAUGGUGAUCUAUGCUUGGCUAGAACGAAGCUGGGGGAAACUCUGGUGGAAGUUCGUAGCGGUUCUGACGUGCAAAUCGAUCGUC